RNAcentral lists this long non-coding RNA (762 nucleotides) under Cyanistes caeruleus (blue tit). RNAcentral's name for it is "lncRNA (ENSCCEG00000016733.1)". The record is from RNAcentral. Lineage: Eukaryota; Metazoa; Chordata; Aves; Passeriformes; Paridae.
CCAGCACUUUUCCUCCUGUGUACCAAGUGCUUGCAGACACUGCCACGUUCAAACUGUAAACUCUCACAGGAGAGGCAGCUCAUCGUACUGGGCAUUUGCAGUUCUCUGGAAGUAUGUAGCAGGAUGGGAAAAAAACCCAGUGAAUCCUUUCCGUGAUGUACCUCAGCCUUGUCUUCAGCUCAGUGAAUUUUGAUCCUGCUCCUUAUGUUAUCUACAACUAGGUGAACAUCUGCAAGUGCCAAAAGGGUUCUGGAGAAGUAGAUGUACCUGAGAAGUCAGGUGAGGCUUCAAACACUGUUGUACACAUUGCAAAGGCAUGGGGUAACCCUGCCUGUGCAGAAGUUCCUUCCUUGAUUCCUGCACAGCAAACAGCACUUGCUAAGAGGGCUCCAGAACCUACAGAUCCCCACGUGUCUUCUCUAGUAUUUGCAGCAGCAUGAUGGCCUGUUGAAUGCUAUGCCAUCCAGAGAACUUGUGGUGGUUGGCAUUUCUGAAUAGUUUGCAGUUUUCUGGUGGACACCUCACUUCCUCAUCAGAGUACUCAGAGUUAUUUGGGAGUGUUCAGGAAACAGGAGUCUCCUUACAAGAGUCCAUUUGUUUUGGGUGCCCAGUUCAAAUAUAUGCUGGGCAUGGGGUUUUGAUUCUUCAGAAAUUCUCCUGAUUCUUCCUGACAUUCUCCUCUGGAAGACAGAUGUCUCAGAUGGGACGUCCAAGAUCAUUAGCUGAUUUUCUGGAAAAUAAAAUUCAAUUGGCAGUGACCCA